AUUUAAAUAUAUAAAGUCAAGGGGUUAUAGUGUUUAGUAUUUACAGAAUAUAAAUGAAAUGAAGUUCGAUUUGAUGGGUCUAGUUUGUCUUGCAAAAUAUUGCGUUCAUUUGUAAUUGCAUUGUAAAUAUUGUAUCUGUCCAUGCUGAAUAGUAUUGUUAAGCAAUUUAUAUAUGUAUAUAUACAUGAUUAUCAAGUAUUUGUUUGAAUCACAUUUUGUACACAUACUUAUAUUUAUUGUAUCAUUAAAGCAUUUGAAUUCAGUUAAUUACCAUCCGUUUGUAUAUAUGUGUGUGGAGUUUUUUUUUGAAUGAUAUGAAUGCACAAUGUCAGUUGUCUCACUGUUGAUAGUGGCUUUGUAUGUCAUGUAUUAUAAAUGUCCGUCUUAAUGUUUUAGCUGUUAUAUAUUUAAGACAGGAUGCUUAUGAUAUAAUAUCAACUGUUAUAAAUAUGAUACUAUAAUUAAUAUUUGUUAUUCUAAAUUUCUUAAUUUUUGUAAAUAAUAUAGGGAAUAACACCUACAUGUAGUUGAAUUAAUUGACUUGUUCAUCAAUUUAUAAUUGAAAUUAUUUAACAUGAUUGUGUUGUUUUCUUAUAAGUUAUAACCAAUUUUUGUGGAGUGAUGAAAACUUCAAUGUUCGUGGAUAUUUAAAUUCGUUGAUAUGGCAAAUUCUGCAUACAUUCCUUUUGAAAAUGUGUAUUUCGUUAGACAUUUAAAUUCGUGUUUCCCCUGUACCCACGACAUCCACGAAAAUUGAUAUCCAAUGCAUAAUCCACAGUAUACCUUUUAAGUUUUUGAAUUAUAUCAAGAUAGUUUCUCAAUGCCAAUUUUAUGUAAAUUUGUUAAUGUAUUUAAAAAUAAAAAGAUUACUCUAUUUGUUAAUUGGAGAGCAUAUUGUGUAGAUAAAUUGCUGUAAUAGUGAAGGAAGGUUUCAUGUUGUUAAAUAUGACAUUAAAAAGAUGUUUAACAUGUCCAAUUAAAAUUUUUCAAUUUUGCAUUUGCUAUUUUAAAUUUGCCUAGCUCUGUUCUGUUGUACAUGCUUAUCAAGUUAUCAUUUAAAUAAUAAAACAAAUCAUAUAAUCCAUGAUGUAUAAUGUGUAUUAAUGCUUUUGCACC
RNAcentral lists this long non-coding RNA (1116 nucleotides) under Mytilus galloprovincialis (Mediterranean mussel). Lineage: Eukaryota; Metazoa; Mollusca; Bivalvia; Mytilida; Mytilidae. The record is from RNAcentral.